Molecule: unclassified non-coding RNA, 334 nt
Filed under: Bombus terrestris (buff-tailed bumblebee)
Lineage: Eukaryota; Metazoa; Arthropoda; Insecta; Hymenoptera; Apidae
Description: misc RNA ENSBTSG00005036862.1
Source: RNAcentral
UACUAAUCUAGAAUACUAACUCUGGUUAGUAACAAGUUCUGCGACUCAACGAAACUAGUUGAAAUAAUUAGAGGUCGGUAAUUUCGUAUCUUCAAAUUGUGCUUUAAGGCGUGAUACUUGUUCCGAUUUCUUAGAAAAUUAUAAAUGAUCGAUUUCAGAAUCAGAGAAGGAGAACAAGGGUGGCGUGGAACUACUUAUGACCCAAUCAUCGUCGUUCUGCUGCGGAGAAGAUUCGAAUUUGCUGGUAGAGCUUCGUUUUGAAAUGCAUCCUGUUACCCUCUGUGCCUGUUGUUUUAUCAGCGUGAACGCGAUGAUUGAGGUAUAUUACGAGCCC